AACGAACGCUGGCGGCAUGCCUAACACAUGCAAGUCGAACGAGACCUUCGGGUCUAGUGGCGCAAGGGUGCGUAACGCGUGGGAACCUGCCCUUAGGUUCGGAAUAACUCCCCGAAAGGGGUGCUAAUAGCGGAUAAUGUCUUCGGACCAAAGAUUUAUCGCCUUUGGAUGGGCCCGCGUUGGAUUAGCUAGUUGGUAGGGUAAAAGCUUACCAAGGCGACGAUCCAUAGCUGGUCUGAGAGGAUGAUCAGCCACACUGGGACUGAGACAGGGCCCAGACUCCUACGGGAGGCAGCAGUGGGGAAUAUUGGACAAUGGGCGAAAGCCUGAUCCAGCAAUGCCGCGUGAGUGAUGAAGGCCUUAGGGUUGUAAAGCGCUUUUACCCGGGAUGAUAAUGACAGUACCGGGAGAAUAAGCUCCGGCUAACUCCGUG
Molecule: ribosomal RNA, 433 nt
Filed under: uncultured bacterium
Lineage: Bacteria
Description: partial 16S ribosomal RNA
Rfam family: Bacterial small subunit ribosomal RNA
Source: RNAcentral